CCUACGGGAGGCUGCAGUGGGGAAUAUUGGACAAUGGGGGCAACCCUGAUCCAGCCAUGCCGCGUGUGUGAAGAAGGCCCUCGGGUUGUAAAGCACUUUCAGUGAGGAAGAACGCCUGGUGGUUAAUACCCAUCAGGAAAGACAUCACUCACAGAAGAAGCACCGGCUAACUCCGUGCCAGCAGCCGCGGUAAUACGGAGGGUGCGAGCGUUAAUCGGAAUUACUGGGCGUAAAGCGCGCGUAGGUGGCUUGAUAAGCCGGUUGUGAAAGCCCCGGGCUCAACCUGGGAACGGCAUCCGGAACUGUCAAGCUAGGGUGCAGGAGAGGAAGGUAGAAUUCCCGGUGUAGCGGUGAAAUGCGUAGAGAUCGGGAGGAAUACCAGUGGCGAAGGCGGCCUUCUGGACUGACACUGACACUGAGGUGCGAAAGCGUGGGUAGCAAACAGGAUUAGAUACCCCGGUAGUC
RNAcentral lists this ribosomal RNA (465 nucleotides) under Vreelandella stevensii. RNAcentral's name for it is "partial 16S ribosomal RNA". It matches the Rfam family "Bacterial small subunit ribosomal RNA", at positions 338 to 795 of the family's 1533-position model. The record is from RNAcentral. Lineage: Bacteria; Pseudomonadati; Pseudomonadota; Gammaproteobacteria; Oceanospirillales; Halomonadaceae.